RNAcentral lists this microRNA precursor (93 nucleotides) under Canis lupus familiaris (dog). RNAcentral describes it as "mir-8799 microRNA precursor family". It matches the Rfam family "mir-8799 microRNA precursor family". The record is from Rfam by way of RNAcentral. Lineage: Eukaryota; Metazoa; Chordata; Mammalia; Carnivora; Canidae. RNAcentral also lists the same sequence under 1 other name.
GAGGGAGCGCAGGAUGCUGGGCUGUGUCCCCCGGCGCCCUGGGCUCCGGGGCCUGCACCACUGGAAUCGCGCUCCCGGGCCACGCAGCCCUUC